AACGCUAGCUACAGGCUUAACACAUGCAAGUCGAGGGGCAUCAGGGUAGCAAUACCGCUGGCGACCGGCGCACGGGUGAGUAACACGUAUCCAACCUACCGUUAACUCGGGGAUAGCCUUUCGAAAGAAAGAUUAAUACCCGAUAGUAUAUUUUCUUCGCAUGUUGAGAAUAUUAAAGAAUUUCGGUUAUCGAUGGGGAUGCGUUCCAUUAGGCAGUUGGCGGGGUAACGGCCCACCAAACCUACGAUGGAUAGGGGUUCUGAGAGGAAGGUCCCCCACAUUGGAACUGAGACACGGUCCAAACUCCUACGGGAGGCAGCAGUGAGGAAUAUUGGUCAAUGGACGAAGGUCUGAACCAGCCAAGUAGCGUGAAGGAUGACUGCCCUAUGGGUUGUAAACUUCUUUUAUAUGGGAAUAAAGUUCUCCACGUGUGGAGUUUUGUAUGUACCAUUAUGAAUAAGCAUCGGCUAACUCCGUGCCAGCAGUCGCGGUAAUACGGAGGAUGCGAGCGUUAUCCGGAUUUAUUGGGUUUAAAGGGAGCGUAGGUGGACUGGUAAGUCAGUUGUGAAAGUUUGCGGCUCAACCGUAAAAUUGUAGUUGAUACUGUCAGUCUUGAGUACAGUAGAGGUGGGCGGAAUUCGUGGUGUAGCGGUGAAAUGCUUAGAUAUCACGAAGAACUCCGAUUG
RNAcentral lists this ribosomal RNA (686 nucleotides) under uncultured bacterium. Its description in RNAcentral is "bacterial SSU rRNA". It matches the Rfam family "Bacterial small subunit ribosomal RNA", at positions 32 to 715 of the family's 1533-position model. The record is from RNAcentral.